UACGUAGGGGGCAAGCGUUAUCCGGAAUUACUGGGCGUAAAGGGCUCGUAGGCGGCCAACUAAGUCAUACGUGAAAUCCCUCGGCUUAACCGGGGAACUGCGUCUGAUACUGGAUGGCUUGAGUUCGGGAGAGGGAUGCGGAAUUCCAGGUGUAGCGGUGAAAUGCGUAGAUAUCUGGAGGAACACCGGUGGCGAAGGCGGCAUCCUGGACCGAUACUGACGCUGAGGAGCGAAAGCCAGGGGAGCAAACGGG
RNAcentral lists this ribosomal RNA (253 nucleotides) under uncultured bacterium. RNAcentral's name for it is "partial 16S ribosomal RNA". It matches the Rfam family "Bacterial small subunit ribosomal RNA", at positions 524 to 776 of the family's 1533-position model. The record is from RNAcentral.